UCUGGGAGCGUGAGUACUGCCAGCCGGCCGGACACGGUGCGACCUGCUCACACAGCUGGUCCCGCUGCCAGAAGCGGUACCUGUACAGUCUCCGACAUAUGUACGGUCUGGAAGGGCGUCGUGUCGCGUUCGAGAGCCACUCCUGUCGCAGACUACAGGAGCGCUGCGGACAGAGCGUCUCCAGCUGCGGCGGCUGUCCGUUCGUCGGAUUCGACGCGGCGUCGCUGACGUCUCUGUUGACCUCAGAGGCUGGCCUGGAGCCUGCUGAGGUAGCGGCGCUGACGACAGAGACCGGUGAGGAGCCGACUGUGCGCUGUCGAAGGUAUCGGUCACUGCUGAUGCGUCGAAUGUGUGGGCGGGGUGGCGCUCAGGGCGAGCGAAUGCCUCGGGAUGAUAGUGUGAGACGAGAUGAAGCAAGUGCCUUCCCUCAGACAGACAAUGUGAGACAAGAUGAGGCAAGUGAGCUUCCUCAGGUAGACGGUGUGAGACCAUAUGAGGCAAGUGGGCUGCCUCUGGUAGACAGUGUGAAACGCGCUGAAGCCAGCGGUGCGGAGGUCGGUAACUUGAUCGCGAACAGUGACCGGGGCGACAUCUGCGCAAAGACCGGGCUGCGGGAACGGAUCGUAGAUGGAGCGGGCUGUGAUUCGGUAUCCGGCAGCUCGCGACCGCCGGGUACUGCUACACUGGGGAACGAGGAGCCGACGCCUUUCAGAAAACCCAGCGAGUUUUUCCGUAGUCUGCUGAACCUCCGUGCAGAUCAGGGCAUCGGUGCUUCUAUCGCAAAUCCCAAAGUUGAAAAUAGUUAUAAAAAAUGACACCUUAGUGGGCUGAAGCGGCUAACCAAAUGUUCAAUUCCAGGCACCAAUGAAUACUCAAGAGUGUGGUACCGAACUGUGAUAGCGAUAUCAGGGCAUGGGCUGAUGCAUAGAUAACAUGAAUCUUUCAUGUUACCUAUUCUAUGGCUGAUGGUUUCGACAUAAAUGUGUGAAUGUGUUUUCGUUUGACUGGCAUUAAAUGCAUCAAUCUUCCCACACACCUGUGACUAUUAUUCCAUGCUAGAUGACGGGGGAUAGUAGAUAUCACUUGCCUCGCAUCAGUGUAUAUGUUACAGCCCGAGUUUGAGAAAUCAGUGAGUGUGCAAACUCCCUAGGAAGUUUGCAAACUCCCUGACCCAUCAGUGAGUCCGGUCAGGGAGUUUGAGAAAUUCCAGAGCGAUUGGGACAAAUAAAAACAAGUACAUAUGUAGCAUAUGGGUAGCAUACGUGCCGUCCGUGAUGUUAGAACAAAGGCGGCUAGUUGUAGGGCCUAUUGAACCGUCGCCCGCUGACAAAAAGCUUACAGACCAUAUGCACACCAUAAAUACCUACUUUGAUUUUAAACUGUUCAGUGAUCCAGCCCAAACAUGUGCCGCCGCUUCAUUCAUCCAUGCAUUUAUUUAGUUCACGUCCCAAUUAAAAUCCGUUCUACACAAGUGCUCCACACUUGUGCCUAUACUUUAGCAUAAAUGACCAACUGAGCUGUUUCUACUUUGAUAUAUUGAGCAGUGACUUUGAAUAGCUACACUUGUGUGGAACGGAUAUAAUUGGGCCGUGAGCUAAAUAAAUGUAUGGCUAAAUGAAGCGGCGGUACAUGCAUGGGCCGAGUCACUAAACAGUUUAAAAUCAAAAGUAUGGUGUGUAUAUGAUCUGUGGGCUAUUUGUCAGCGUGCGUAGGUUAUAUAGGCCCUACAACUUAUAGCCGCCUUUGUUUUAUUUCUCAAACUCCCUGAACGGUUAGUGAGUUUGCGAACUCCCUAGUGAGUUUGCGAACUCCCUAGUGAGUUUGCAAACUCACUGACGGGUCAGGGAAUUUUCAAACCACCUAGGGAGUUUGCAAAGUCACGGAUUUCUCAAACUCCCUGUAAUACAUAUAAAGGGGAGUGACGGGUGUACACAUGCAUCAUUCAUAUCCAAAUAUGUGGCUGUUAAAUACCCCAUCUUUUUUCCCAUUUCUGGUAAUUAUGAAUAUAGGAUUAAUGUGAAUGUCGAUGGAUUACAUAAGUGAGUGCCGUCACGAUCAAGGAGAUCUCAUGUAACCGUGCGGCGUGCAUACUUUCUCAAGCCAAACCAGUGGGCAGUGACAUUCAUUUGUUGGCUUUGAAAGCUGUAUUCGUCAAUCGUCUUACCUUGUACGUAUUUUUGACUUGCAACGUCUGUCUAUCUACUUUUGGCCGUUCUUUUUAUCUUUUAUCGAAAUAUCGCAUGAAUAAAAAUCAUAAGCGUC
This is a long non-coding RNA of Amphibalanus amphitrite, 2262 nucleotides long. RefSeq lists it as uncharacterized. The transcript has 2 exons. The record is from RefSeq and is a predicted model, not a curated record. NCBI's taxonomy places the organism in Eukaryota, Metazoa, Arthropoda, Thecostraca, Balanomorpha, Balanidae.